AGGGGCGCUGCCUGGCGGGGAAAAGUGGUACUGAUUCUAAGGGCCCAGCCCAACGCAGCACGGCCCACGGCCCGCGGAUGGCAAUUAAUAAUAUAAUAUUAAUAUUCUUGCCUUUUUUUUUUUUAUAAAUGUCUCAUUACAAAGAAAUGGUAAUUGGAAAUAAACGUAUUAAACUCACAACUGUCGAUUUCCAUAACGUUUUCGUUAGUUAAUUAACAUAUUGUCAUUUGGCCUUCCCCCUGAGCUCUUGCGAAAUGGUUCAGCCGCAACGCACGAUGCGUUGAAUCGAACAGCAUCCGAAAUGUGAGAUGCUGGCACUGGCAGCAGGUGUACAGAGCGGCUGGGCUGGCUGAGGUCAGGUCUUAACCACAUGAUGGUGAGCUGGUGGUGACAGCUACAGAAAUUAAGUCAGGUUGGCAAAAACUGAAGGAAAGACGGGAGAAAGAGGAGAGGGCCAAAAGAGGCAGGCAACUGGUCACUCAAUUGUUCGCCAAUAAAGAAGGAGGAGGACAAGAUCCGCCCACGGCCACCACGACUGGAUUCCAUUUCGGAGAAGGAGGUAAGCAACAUUAGUUUGGUAGGAUGUUAGUUGCUUUAGGAUGAAAGUUUUGAAUGAGGGUGCCUUCUAGGCUAGAUCAUAUUUCAGUAUUUGACGGUCAGUCGUUAGGUUCGAGAAAACAGAAUGUUUUUCUUUCUUUUACUGUAACUCUUGUUACUUGUAUAUUUUUAUUGAUGUCUACAAUGUGGAUCCAUUGAUAUUGUAUGCAAUUGCACUGUAAAUUAUGUUCUUUGUUUACAUUUUGAUUGUUACUUGGAGCUAUUUUUUGCACUUUAGACUUCAGCAAUUAAACUUUUUAUUCAUGAACAGUGUAAAUUGAGAUUUUUUUUCCAUAUUGUUUGAAGCUGAAGUGUAAAUAUUUGUGUUGAUGUCAAGCAAUUGUAAUGUUAAUUCAGUUCCUAUAAGAGUCUAUCUUUUUAAUGUAUCUUUUUUAUGUACUAUUUAUGGAAUUUGAAAUUGUACUUGCAUAAUAAAUAUGUGUUUAAAGUAA
Gadus morhua (Atlantic cod) is the source of this 1049-nucleotide long non-coding RNA. RefSeq lists it as uncharacterized. The record is from RefSeq and is a predicted model, not a curated record. Lineage: Eukaryota; Metazoa; Chordata; Actinopteri; Gadiformes; Gadidae. The transcript has 2 exons.